AACCACUGAACCAUGAAAAUGAGGUCAGAGGAUAGAAAACCAGAUAAAUUGACACAAAUCCCUGUGGUAAGACAAAAUGUGCCAUAAUAUUAGUCCAAAUGAUAAUAAAGUCUUGCAUGGCUAUUCUGUUCUGUUCUGGUUUAGAAAAUCCCUCCUUCAAAGGAGCACUUUGCACAAUGACGAAUAAAUGUUUAUAUAUAUAUAUAUACCUAAAAAGACAUACUAGGUACGCCUCGUGAGAUAAGUGUUGGUUACUGUCAAAGACCCUUACGCUUGCUUGGCGGAAGGUUUUUAAUUAUGAAGACGAGUUCGUACUCCAUGAAGAGCAAAGCAAAGCUUCCUUGUUAUGUAUUCUACAGUGUAGCAGGCAUCCAUGCAUUUACAUUUGCAACCACAAGCACAUAUAAAGCUACUAGGGUCCAAUAUAAAGUUAGUGUCUAGCUAUUUCAACUUUUUUCUUGGACGCCGUCAUAGUAAAAAAAAAUCCUUUCAAGGUGUA
Molecule: long non-coding RNA, 499 nt
Filed under: Mytilus galloprovincialis (Mediterranean mussel)
Lineage: Eukaryota; Metazoa; Mollusca; Bivalvia; Mytilida; Mytilidae
Source: RNAcentral